Molecule: ribosomal RNA, 255 nt
Filed under: uncultured bacterium
Lineage: Bacteria
Description: partial 16S ribosomal RNA
Rfam family: Bacterial small subunit ribosomal RNA
Source: RNAcentral
UACGUAGGGUGCGAGCGUUGUCCGGAAUUACUGGGCGUAAAGAGCUCGUAGGUGGUUUGUCGCGUUGCUCGUGAAAACUCACAACUCAAUUGUGGGCGUGCGGGCGAUACGGGCAGACUGGAGUACUGCAGGGGAGACUGGAAUUCCUGGUGUAGCGGUGGAAUGCGCAGAUAUCAGGAGGAACGACCGGUGGCGAAGGCGGGGUCUCUGGGCAGUAACUGACGCUGAGGAGCGAAAGCGUGGGGAGCGAACAGG